AUUGAACGCUGGCGGCAUGCUUUACACAUGCAAGUCGAACGGUAACAGGCCUUCGGGUGCUGACGAGUGGCGAACGGGUGAGUAAUGCAUCGGAACGUACCCAGAGGUGGGGGAUAACGCAGCGAAAGCUGUGCUAAUACCGCAUGUGAUCUGAGGAUGAAAGCGGGGGACCGAGCAGCAAUGUUUGGCCUCGCGCCUUUGGAGCGGCCGAUGUCGGAUUAGCUAGUUGGUGGGGUAAAGGCCUACCAAGGCGACGAUCCGUAGCUGGUCUGAGAGGACGACCAGCCACACUGGGACUGAGACACGGCCCAGACUCCUACGGGAGGUAGCAGUGGGGAAUUUUGGACAAUGGGCGCAAGCCUGAUCCAGCAAUGCCGCGUGCGGGAAGAAGGCCUUCGGGUUGUAAACCGCUUUUGGCAGGAGCGAAACGGUGUCCGCUAAUACCGGGCGCUAAUGACGGUACCUGCAGAAUAAGCACCGGCUAACUACGUG
RNAcentral lists this ribosomal RNA (492 nucleotides) under uncultured bacterium. RNAcentral's name for it is "partial 16S ribosomal RNA". It matches the Rfam family "Bacterial small subunit ribosomal RNA", at positions 29 to 507 of the family's 1533-position model. The record is from RNAcentral.